UACGUAGGGGGCAAGCGUUAUCCGGAUUUACUGGGUGUAAAGGGAGCGUAGACGGCGCUGCAAGUCCGGAGUGAAAGCCCAUGGCUUAACCAUGGUACUGCUCUGGAAACUGUGGAGCUUGAGUGCGGGAGGGGCAGGCGGAAUUCCUAGUGUAGCGGUGAAAUGCGUAGAUAUUAGGAGGAACACCGGCGGCGAAGGCGGCCUGCUGGACCGUAACUGACGUUGAGGCUCGAAAGCGUGGGGAGCAAACAGG
This 253-nucleotide ribosomal RNA is filed under the name uncultured bacterium. RNAcentral describes it as "partial 16S ribosomal RNA". It matches the Rfam family "Bacterial small subunit ribosomal RNA", at positions 524 to 776 of the family's 1533-position model. The record is from RNAcentral.